RNAcentral lists this ribosomal RNA (467 nucleotides) under uncultured bacterium. RNAcentral's name for it is "partial 16S ribosomal RNA". It matches the Rfam family "Bacterial small subunit ribosomal RNA", at positions 28 to 507 of the family's 1533-position model. The record is from RNAcentral.
GACGAACGCUGGCGGCGUGCUUAACACAUGCAAGUCGAACGGAAAGGCCCUGCUUUUGUGGGGUGCUCGAGUGGCGAACGGGUGAGUAACACGUGAGUAACCUGCCCUUGACUUUGGGAUAACUUCAGGAAACUGGGGCUAUACCGGAUAGGAGCUCCUGCUGCAUGGGGGGGGGUGGAAAGUUUCGGCGGUUGGGGAUGGACUCGCGGCUUAUCAGCUUGUUGGUGGGGUAGUGGCUUACCAAGGCUUUGACGGGUAGCCGGCCUGAGAGGGUGACCGGCCACAUUGGGACUGAGAUACGGCCCAGACUCCUACGGGAGGCAGCAGUGGGGAAUAUUGCACAAUGGGCGGAAGCCUGAUGCAGCAACGCCGCGUGCGGGAUGACGGCCUUCGGGUUGUAAACCGCUUUCGCCUGUGACGAAGCGUGAGUGACGGUAAUGGGUAAAGAAGCACCGGCUAACUACGUG